Molecule: ribosomal RNA, 942 nt
Filed under: Triticum aestivum (bread wheat)
Lineage: Eukaryota; Viridiplantae; Streptophyta; Magnoliopsida; Poales; Poaceae
Description: partial small subunit ribosomal RNA
Source: RNAcentral
AUGGCCAAACUGCUCUCCUCCGCCUCGUCUCACGAGCUGCUCGCCCUGCCACCGGCCGUCUCCCUCCCCGUUGUCGACCUCUCCCUCAGUCAUGACGAGGUCCGCCGCGCCAUCCUCGACGCCGGCAAGGAGCUGGGCUUCUUCCUGGUGGUCAACCACGGCGUUCCUGAGCAUGCGAUGCGGGACAUGGAGGCAGUGUGCGAGGAGUUCUUCCGCCUCCCGGUGCUGGACGUGGCACCCUUCUACUCGGACGACAGACGCAAGCCCAACCGGCUUUUCUCUGGCACCACCUUCAACACCGGCGGCGACAAGUACUGGCUGGACUGCCUCCGCCUUGCCUCCACCUUCCCCGUGGGAGACAGCAAGAAUCACUGGCCCGAUAAGCCCCAAAGCCUUCGAGAGGUUGUCGAGACGUUCUUCCUGCUGACAAGAGGUGUGGGCAUGGAGCUACUGCGGCUUCUGAGCGAGGGAAUGGGGCUCCACCCUAACUACUUCGAUGGGCCCCUCAACUGCGGUGAUACCACCAUCUCCCUCAACCAUUACCCAAGGUGCUCGGACUCGAGCCUCGCGCUCGGGCUACCGCCACACUGCGAUCGGAACCUCAUCACCCUACUCCUACCUGGUGUAGUCCCCGGUCUCCAAGUCUCCUACAAGGGUGAUUGGAUUAACGUCGUAACCAACGGGGUGCUGAAGAGCAUAGAGCACCGGGUGAUGACUAAUUCGGUGAUGCCACGAAUGUCAGUGGCGGUUUUCAUCGAGCCGGAUGCGGACUGCCUCAUCGGGCCCUCAGAGGAGUUCAUUGGCGAAGGAAACCCCAUGCGCUACCGUUCCCUCACAUACCGUGAGUUCUUGCGCGUCCACAAUGUUGUAAAGCUGGGCUCAUCGCUCAAUCUUACAACCAAUCUCAGCAACUCUCAACAAACACAAGACAAAAAUACAUGA